CUAAGGUAGCAUAAUCAUUUGUUAUUUAAUUGGUAGCUAGAAUGAAAGGUUAAACUAGCUUAUUAGGUUUGUUGGACUACAUAGAAGUUUAAAGUUAAGGUAAGAAUUCUUUAAUUUUCUAGGGGACGAUAAGACCCUAGAAGCUUAACAAUAUGAGUAAUUAGUGUUAGAAAUUUAUUUGUUUUACUGGGGCGGUAAAGGUAAAUAAGCUAUUUGUGAUUUAGAGGAUCCUAACAAUAUAGAUAAGAUGUGUAAGUUACUCUAGGGAUAA
This 271-nucleotide ribosomal RNA is filed under the name Gammarus balcanicus. RNAcentral's name for it is "partial 16S ribosomal RNA". The record is from RNAcentral. Lineage: Eukaryota; Metazoa; Arthropoda; Malacostraca; Amphipoda; Gammaridae.